RNAcentral lists this small RNA (462 nucleotides) under Arabidopsis thaliana (thale cress). RNAcentral's name for it is "putative long intergenic non-coding RNA". The record is from RNAcentral. Lineage: Eukaryota; Viridiplantae; Streptophyta; Magnoliopsida; Brassicales; Brassicaceae.
CCGGUGCGUGACACGAGUAAUCGCGUAAUGUAGUUCUUCGGGCAGAAGGCAGUACUGAAUUGAUUACACGGACAUGUUCUCAUAUAACUUCUCUAUAAUGCUGUUUAACUACGAUGGCCGGUCCAAUGAGAAGAGUUUGAAUGGUCCAAGCAAGCCAUUCAUGUGAACAUUCUGAAACAAAUAAAUUGGUUAGUGGCUACUUACCUAAGCUGGAACGCCAAUCUUCUUCCUAGUAGGAGUUUUUGAUGUAGUGAAUAUCGAAUGUUUUAGUGGAGCCACUUCCCAGAUCUUCAUAGUAUUCCAAUUCUCUUUUGUCCAGUUAAAGCCAUUGUUAGCUCCUUGAAGGUGAUUUAGCCGUGUAGAUCCCAAAUUUUUGUGGUAGCCAAGCAUAAGUUGAAAGAAUAUGCGGAAUUGUAUUAAAGAUUAAGAGAGUUAUGAAGAACAAGAGAGUUUGUAUGUGAG